GGACUGUACCUUAGGAGGAAGCCCCGGCUAACUACGUGCCAGCAGCCGCGGUAAUACGUAGGGGGCAAGCGUUGUCCGGAAUGAUUGGGCGUAAAGGGCGCGUAGGCGGCCCACUAAGUCUGGAGUGAAAGUCCUGCCUUCAAGGUGGGAAUUGCUUUGGAUACUGGUGGGCUUGAGUGCAGGAGAGGUUAGUGGAAUUCCCAGUGUAGCGGUGAAAUGCGUAGAGAUUGGGAGGAACACCAGUGGCGAAGGCGACUAACUGGACUGUAACUGACGCUGAGGCGCGAAAGUGUGGGGAGCAAACAGGAUUAGAUACCCUG
Molecule: ribosomal RNA, 320 nt
Filed under: uncultured bacterium
Lineage: Bacteria
Description: bacterial SSU rRNA
Rfam family: Bacterial small subunit ribosomal RNA
Source: RNAcentral